GGUGUUGGCGGGGAAGUGGCUGCAUGGCCCAGGGUGGGGAUGGGGACUGCGCUCUCCCCUGGCCCGUGAACAGCAGCCUUCUCUUGGAGCCGGGGUUCAUCUCCCUCACCUGGUUAAUGAUAAUUUGGAGGCAACAGAUAUGUGACGGAGGUAGAAGCGAGAUUUACACUAAUUUGGCAACGUCAGGGUUAACAAGGAAUGAAUUGGGGGAGGGAUGCUGUGAUAACUGGACGCCCCCUCAACUACCUCUGUUCAUGAGGGUCCCAGAUGCUGGGAGGUCCAGGGACGCCUAUGGAUGGGAGUUGUCAGAUAAGAGAGGCCCUGAGACUUCAAACCUUAAACCUUGAGCUCCCUACACUCAGAACUAUAGGACUCUGCCCAGACUUCGUUUAACCACAUUGAGUCCAGGGAAGGAAGAAAAUAAACUAAAAAGCAGGAAUGAAGUUAGCAAGAGUAAAAGAUCUUUUAAGUGGGGAGGACCUGGGGCUGUUUCCCUAUGGGAAACAUAGGCUAAGCAGAGGCUCUGUCUGAAACUGGUGGCAGUGGCCAGCUGGAACAGGUGCCCAGCUCUCCCUGGAAGACUCAAGGGCUCUUUCCUGGUGAUAUCUCCCAGUAGAAGCGAGCCUGCACCAAGUCUGUGCCCUUCUAAGCCUCUUCCAACUACCCACUCACUCACUGGCCUUUGCCCCUCUGCCUUCAUCUCCAAAACUGAGGCUCUGCAAGUUGCAAUUAAUGCUCUCAUCUUCCUAAGGCAAACCCAUAACUCCAGUCCCAGGAUCCCACCUGUGACCAGCUCAUCCAGCAAUGACUGCUCCCCUUAAAACACAGAGAAGGAAAUGAACUCCUUUCUAAUUAGUCAAGAUCCUGCCAAGAUUUCCUUGUAAAUAAAACUGUCUGCAUGGAGUGUGAUUUUGAAAACAGCCUUCAGGGGACAGAAGAGGAGCUGGCUUCUUUGUGGAAAGAAGCCCAGAAGGAUAAGCAUCUACUGGGGACCCUGAGGAAUCCCCCAGUCAUGUUUGAAGUCUGCAAGUCCAAACAGCAGACAGAGCUCAGGGAGGAGACCGCCACGUGGAAUCCACCCACCCUCCAUCCCCAUCUCCAGCCUUCUUCCGUGGUUGCCCGCUGUCUGCCAGAUCAAACAGAACAAGAUACUGCUGAUAAACAUCUUUACAGACUGAGCCUUCAGAGAGAGCUAUGAGACAUACCUCUGCCCUCAGUGAGCUACAAGUGUCAGGUUGGAAAGCCAUGCUGUGAAAAAAACAAAACAAACAACAACAACAACAACAAAAACCUGCAGGUACUUGUGAUAGGUACUGAGUAGGCAACAUCAUGUGGCAGCAAAAAAGUGUCCAAGUAGGUGAUGCUGGAACUGAAUCUUAAGAGACCAUGUAGGAGUUUGCCAAGUGGAUGAGGCUUGAUGUAUUCAAGACAGAAGGAACUGCAUGUACUAAGGCAGGAAGGUGUGAAUCUGCAUAGGAACUGCCCGUCGUUAGGGUGAUAGUGACAUUCUGGGAGUCUUUGCAUUAACUGCUUCCUACCCCCCCUACCCCUAAGUAAGCCAGUACUCUCUGGGUUGUGGCUGAGGGGGGUUAGGAUUGUUGUCUCAAUGUGGCCUCCCUGUCCAUGAAGCACAUCACCAAGGAGAUGAUGACUUGAAUAAGAAGUCUCCUUUUCCGUCUCUUGCCUUUAUCUCUUCUCUGAAUUAGAAAUAGGGAAGCAGACUGGAAUUAGGAGCAUGGCUCGAAUGGCCCCAAGGUGACCCACAAUUCUCCAGCCUUGCACAUCAUCAAGCCAGAUCAGAGAGAGAAGGGGGUUUUGUAUAAAAUGGGGUCCAGAGACUGCCUUGGGCAGUUUCGAUUUGCUGGGCAUCCUCCCCUGUGCUGCCAGAGCACAUGAUCUCCCUACAGCUGUGGCAGCCUGUUGUGGCUCCUUGGGGAGCUGUCCAAGUCCUCUGCAGAGCGAUGGAGUUAACCUGUCCCUUCUCCGUGAAGGACGUCCUGCAACGGAAAUGCGUUUUCCCCUGCUUCUCGAUCUGGUGGCUGCAGCUCUGGUCUGCAGCUCAUCAUAUGCCUGGCUCUGCACACUCCAAAGACACAAGAACAGCAGAGAGGGGAGAUGCACGCCUCCAAGACAUCCUUAGCUGUGAGCAGCCCCACAGGCAGCGAGCCACAGGGUUAACUUAGCUCAGGGAAAGCCUAGGAAGCGUCCGUAAGCAUUCUGCUGGCUUGGCUUGCUGUGACAAUUUAUAUCUAAGAAAAAAGGGGCCACAAGUCAGGGAAAUACCAGAAACACCAAAGAAAUAGGCAUGUUUGCCAGAUGGUUUCUGGGGCACAAUUGUAUUUGCAGAGUGACGGUCUGCAGGGGGAGGUCCUUUCAUCAGAGAGCAAAGGCGCUGGUGGAUGGCUCAUUCAUUAUCCGAGGCUCCUUUGAAGGAGAUUGGUGGCUUGGAGCACACCCACGCUUAUCCUCCCUUCCCAGAACCUUACCACUGAUUGCCCAAAGCAGAAGGGGCAUUUGGGUUGGGCCUCUUCAAAAUGCUUGCAGCUUAGCUGCUUUAGGCACCUGCCACCUGUAUCUUUCCCAACUUAAACCAUUCAAUUCGUUCUCUCCACUGCCAGCUGACAUUCUCUCUUCUUCAUGUUAACUGAUGAGAUUUUAUAAAUAACACAGCUUGGGCUCUGAUGAUAUGGCUUCAGUUGUGCUGCCAGGGCUGACCCAGGGGGCAGUAGGGAUGAGGCUGUGAGAGGGUGAGUGGGUCUGAAAAUAUGAAAAACCAGGAAGGCAUUUAAAAUUAUGCCCAACAUUAGCACAGAUUUUUCAAGAACUUAUUGCAUUUGUCCUCAUUCAGUUACAGAUUUUGAGUAAUAGAGAUUAUGUCUAUUUUGGCUUUGCUGCCUACUGCAGGUGGGAGAGUGAUCAUAGCUUCAAUCACUAUUGAUGAGUGAUGCUCCCCAAAGCCGUGGUCAUCAGGGAGAUGGGGUGAAGGUCAGAGGGCUGUCCACAUGAAGAUAUCAUUACAAGCAGAGCCUCUGGGAUACCCUUUUACUAGUGGAUGGUGGCUUCCCUGUGCUGGAGGCCAGAAUCACAGCAAGCAGCCAGAGAGGCCACAUAGAGGCGUGUUGCAAGGGUGGUCACUUAUUAGGAGUCAUCUGCUAAUCAUUCAUCUGUUGAUUGUCACUUAGUGUUAUAUCAUGAACUUCUUAAGGACAGGGUGGCUUUGUAACACCUCUCUUUCUCUGUAUCAUGUCAGUGUGGUAUCAAAGGGUUGAGUGGGAAAUGUACACCUUUAUUCAUUCAGACUUUCACUGAUGUCAGGACAGCCUUCAGCAAGGUGGUUAACCUCAGGGGGUCUCUGUUUCCUUGGAUUUAUUUGUUCAUUUAAAAAAAAAAAAGUUUGUAUUGCUGGGGAUCAAACCCAAGGCUGUGUACAAGCUAGGCAAGUGCUUUACCACUAUGCUACACCCCAAUACCAUGUUUCCUUGGAUUUAAAUGAGCUUCAUAGUAUCCAUUUUGCUAGGAUGUAGGUAAGAAGGAUGGAAUAGUGCCUGAUCCAGAGUGGUUCUCAGGAGGCAUCAUCUCCCUUCCUUUCCCCUCUGGAUACACCAUCCAUGGUGUGAAUAAAUGAAUAAAUCAUUUCAGAGAUGAACACACUUUGGCAUAUUUCUUAGAUAUAUUCACAUUCCAAAAAGACCAUAUAUGGCAGUUGAAAAAGAAAAAAAAAACCCAACCAGGUAACCAAAUUUGCAGUUUAUAGC
This is a non-coding RNA of Ictidomys tridecemlineatus (thirteen-lined ground squirrel), 3755 nucleotides long. The record is from RefSeq and is a predicted model, not a curated record. NCBI's taxonomy places the organism in Eukaryota, Metazoa, Chordata, Mammalia, Rodentia, Sciuridae.